UACACUCCUACGGGAGGCAGCAGUGGGGAAUUUUGGACAAUGGGCGAAAGCCUGAUCCAGCAAUGCCGCGUGAGUGAAGAAGGCCUUCGGGUUGUAAAGCUCUUUUGUCAGGGAAGAAACGGUGAGAGCUAAUAUCUCUUGCUAAUGACGGUACCUGAAGAAUAAGCACCGGCUAACUACGUGCCAGCAGCCGCGGUAAUACGUAGGGUGCAAGCGUUAAUCGGAAUUACUGGGCGUAAAGCGUGCGCAGGCGGUUUUGUAAGUCUGAUGUGAAAUCCCCGGGCUCAACCUGGGAAUUGCAUUGGAGACUGCAAGGCUAGAAUCUGGCAGAGGGGGGUAGAAUUCCACGUGUAGCAGUGAAAUGCGUAGAUAUGUGGAGGAACACCGAUGGCGAAGGCAGCCCCCUGGGUCAAGAUUGACGCUCAUGCACGAAAGCGUGGGGAGCAAACAGGAUUAGAUACCCCAGUAGUCCCAUGAU
RNAcentral lists this ribosomal RNA (478 nucleotides) under uncultured organism. Its description in RNAcentral is "partial 16S ribosomal RNA". It matches the Rfam family "Bacterial small subunit ribosomal RNA", at positions 332 to 801 of the family's 1533-position model. The record is from RNAcentral.